Molecule: ribosomal RNA, 497 nt
Filed under: uncultured bacterium
Lineage: Bacteria
Description: partial 16S ribosomal RNA
Rfam family: Bacterial small subunit ribosomal RNA
Source: RNAcentral
GAUGAACGCUGGCGGCGUGCCUUACACAUGCAAGUCGAGCGACCACAUGACCUACUUUCUUCUCUUGCUUUCGCGUCGCACGCGGGUGUAUCAUGUAUCUAACCUUCCUUUUUGACUGGGAUUACUGUGGCGAACCUUAGCUUAUUCCCGCUUAUAUACUGAACCGCAUAGCUCAGUACUUUCAGACGUUUUUGUUGUCACUCGUACAUUGUUCCACGCCGCAUUAGCUAGUUGGUAAGGUAACGGCUUACCAAGGCAACGAUGCGUAGCCGAUCUGAGAGGGUGAUCGGCCACACUGGAACUGAGACACGGUCCAGACUCCUACGGGAGGCAGCAGUAGGGAAUCUUGCGCAAUGGGCGAAAGCCUGACGGAGCAACGCCGCGUGAGUGAAGAAGGUCUUCGGGUCGUAAAGCUCUGUUAGCAGGGAAGAAAAAAUAUGUAAGAAAACAGGGAGGGGUUGACGGUACCAGAACAAGAAGCAACGGCUAACUACGUG